GUCCCGCUCGCCCCUUGCCAGCCGCUCACCCCGCCGCCCCGCUCGUCCCGCUCGCCGUGGCCGAUGACCCGCACUCGCGCCACCUCCCCAACCCUUCCUGCCCCCUCGCGCCGCCACCCUACUGGCCUCGCCUCUUCCCCCCUUUCUCCUCCAGCGUCUCCUCCCCAUCUGCUCCGCUCCACCUCUCCACGGACGCGCCCAAGUCCGAGCGCGCCAAGUUCGCCGGCCCCCGCGCGCGCCUGCACCGGCUCCGCUUCGUCCAGCCCGCGCCGCGCCGCGUCGCCUCCUCCUGCGCCCCGCGGGCUCCGCCGCCCCCGACCGCGCCCCUGCGAAUGCCCCUGCAGCGGCUGCGCGCCCACGGGCCGCCCGCAGCGCCCCCCGCUCGGUCGCCGGCUCCCUCCGGCCGGCUCCGCUUCUGCCCAUGCCCCGGCCGGCUCCGCCUCUGCCUUUCAGCAACAGGGGAGGGGUGAGUCAACGGCGGCGUGCACAGAGGGUGGAGAGAAUUGCAAGAGCCUAGGUGCCCAUCACCAUGGUUUUCUCGUCGUUCGCGUGCCACCAUCGCGGUCGUUAUUGGAGCUUUGAAAAGGUUCAUGGGUCAGGCGACGUACAUGGGCGUGUCUGCUAAGCAGGCCACUGGGUGGGUGACGAAGUGAUGCAGUCAGAGGCCACCGGCGACCUCCGAGCCCCCCCUUCUCCGCCUCGUCACUGUCGCCACCUAGCUUGACCUCGAGCCGAAGAGCGACUCGGCAGGACGCCGGGGGACAGGGGCAGCAGCCAGCCGCGCCUCGCCCCGUGCUCUGCAGGUGCCCGUCGUCCUCGACCCGGCCUCGGCAGGAGGAGCUCAAGCCGAAGCCGAGGAGCGCGGCCUUGAUCCAGACUCGGCAGAAGGACUAUAGCAGCAGACAUGCCCGUUAGCUUCUCUCUCUAAUCCCCUUGAAACUACAUUCCCGAUCUGGAGCGGGAGGCCAGAGAUGCCUCGUAUGUGUCUCCGUAAUUUUCUUCUCAGUUUGACAAGGAAUAUGCCUAUGGUAGUCUUCUGAUUUUGGGUGUAGAUUCUGAUUUUGUUGGCAAAACAAUGGCAGAUUUCUCCAUUAGCUUAUAUGAUUUGGGGCUGAUUUUCCUCUUGUGAUUCCUGUUCAUGGCCUUGCUGUGGGAGAUUGCAAAAAGUGAUGUGAAUUAAGUGUGAAAAAAUAGCAGGAGCAAUGCCUGGGCUGUAGAUUUCUCCAUUAGUUUAGUCAUGGCUAAUAUGAACUUCUCUAGUUAUGGAUUGUUCAGUAAAAUGAAACCUCAUGGUGUAGCAGGAGCAAUGCCUGGGCUGUAGAUUUCUCCAUUAGUUUAGUCAUGGCUAAUAUGAACUUCUCUACUUAUGGAUUGUUCAGUAAAAUGAAACCUCAUGGUGUGGCAUGUCACCUCCCUUGCACAUAUACUUGUACCCAAUUUAGACCAUCAGUAGAACUGUCUAUAUUGUACAGGUCAACUAAUACACAGCACCCCGGCGGCCGGUGCAUACAGAUAACUGCACGCACACACAACGCCACCUGACUCCUAUUUCUUCAAUGCAGCACCGUGACAUGGCCAUACUCUGUAUGGACAAGGUGGCAGAUUACAAACUCUCUGCAGUAGUGGAUUUAAUAAACAAGAUGUCUUAGGUUUGAAAGCAACAUGCAGAUAAGGAGAUAACUUUGGAUAUGUUAUUAUCUUUUACCUUAUACGUAUAUAAUUUCUUAAUGUACGAUGCAGCUGACCUCACGGGUUGACUGACGGCGACACGAAAGCCGGAGGGAGCCAACCAUCUCUGCGGCCCACGCUCCUCUUGCCAACGACGACCGUGCCGUGAACCAGCUCUGCCGCUCGAGCUCCUCCUGGGUCCAGGUCAUGCUAUGUUUUAGUGCUCAUGGAGUUCCUCUGGCAUACGUUGAUUCUGGUGAUCCGUAUAAAACAUAGAUGGAAGACUAUGGAUCUUAUCAUGGAUGAGCUCGAAGAUACACGAAUCUCAAAUCCAUGUAUACAUCAAUCACACUCAUACCCGAAACUGAACAGGGACAAGCACAUGCAAUUAUAUGUUGUGGUAGAUUUCGAAAGAGACCCAGGGCCCAGAGUAGUUUUGCAAAAAUGGAGGAUACCAGACUGACCCAUGGAGCAUGAGAUCCUCUUUGUCAGGGGCCACCUUACUUGUAUGGCUUCAGGCUGAGGAGACCCUUCUAAUUAAGGUGGUUACUACUUACUUGCUGAUUUGAACCUAGAAGAGAAUGUCAUUUCGUGUUUGUCAGUAGGAUCUCAUGUUUAAUCUACAGAUCUAUUUAGUCAGUGUAUUUGCAGACCAGUUGCGAGUUUUUACCUGGGAAAAUGAACAUUUUUCUACCUCAAAUUUGCAUAUCAGUAUCCUUGUCUGAUUUAAGAUUGCUUUUCUUAUUAUGAAGAAGAUUUAUGCUGCUGCUAUUGCGUUCUUCAGUUUCUGGUCAUUGGUUCAUCUGCAAAUGUGUGGACCCCCCUCCCUUUUGCUCGAUUGCUCCACCUUGCUCCUUUGGCUGAUUAACAGCUAUUUCCGCAGCCCAUGACGCUGGUUGAGUAUCUUUAAUGCAGCCUAUUGGUUCUUAACUUACUACCAACUACUAGCGGAGAUAGCUUUCUGAAAUAAGCAUGCUAAGCAUGAACGUUGUUCUACUUAUGGGAAGAACCCUCAGAGAUCCAGGCAGCGUCUAGAUUGCUGUUAUCAUCCUCCAUCAACAAAACCAUGGGGUCCUUGUGGGAGCUGCAUACAAACCGUGUGGAUGUAUUUGGUUGGUAGCUGCAACAGCCUGCCAAUCGGAUAAGAGAAGCCAAGGGGCCAUCGGUGAUGGUGUAGCUUCAGCAUCCUGUCAAUCGAAGGAGAGGCCAAGGAGUCAUCGGCAAGAAGCAACCUUAUCCUGGACCUUGAAGUGGAGUAAUGGUUAACAAUGUUUUAUGGAUCAUAUGUUUUCUUUUGUUCACACUUGAGAGCUACAAGCAUUAAGAUGUUAUGAUAAAUUAUGUACCAAAGUUUGCUUUGUCUGUGGUCAUAUCUAUAUGUGUUAAUUUAUUUUCCUAUAGUCGUAUCGAUAUUAUUAUCCCUAUGAGUUGUCCCCUUUGUUCUAUAGUAAUGUAAUCAGAGCGAGAAAUGUAAAUGUGAUUGAAUUAUGGUGUGGCUCUUACAAAAAUAUGUAAAUGGGAUCAGAAUUGUGUAUAUAUUAUUGAUUUAAUAGUUUGAAACUAAGCCA
This is a non-coding RNA of Aegilops tauschii subsp. strangulata, 3236 nucleotides long. The record is from RefSeq and is a predicted model, not a curated record. NCBI's taxonomy places the organism in Eukaryota, Viridiplantae, Streptophyta, Magnoliopsida, Poales, Poaceae.